Molecule: ribosomal RNA, 373 nt
Filed under: uncultured Geoalkalibacter sp.
Lineage: Bacteria; Pseudomonadati; Thermodesulfobacteriota; Desulfuromonadia; Desulfuromonadales; Geoalkalibacteraceae
Description: bacterial SSU rRNA
Rfam family: Bacterial small subunit ribosomal RNA
Source: RNAcentral
AGUUAGGUCAGUUCGGCUGGAUCGGUGACAGGUGCUGCAUGGCUGUCGUCAGCUCGUGUCGUGAGAUGUUGGGUAAGUCCCGCAACGAGCGCAACCCUUGUCCUUAGUUGCCAGCAUUAAGUUGGGCACUCUAAGGAGACUGCCGGUGUUAAACCGGAGGAAGGUGGGGAUGACGUCAAGUCCUCAUGGCCCUUAUGUCCAGGGCUACACACACGCUACAAUGGCCGGCACAGAGGGUCGCCAACCCGCGAGGGGGAGCCAAUCCAAGAAAGCCGGUCUCAGUUCGGAUUGCAGGCUGCAACCCGCCUGCAUGAAGAUGGAGUUGCUAGUAACCGCAGGUCAGCUAUACUGCGGUGAAUACGUUCCCGGGCUU